Non-coding RNA from Ruminococcus sp. CAG:330, 151 nucleotides. The record is from Rfam. Lineage: Bacteria; Bacillati; Bacillota; Clostridia; Eubacteriales; Oscillospiraceae.
GAGAACUGCUGUCCCGAUGGUCAGAAUGAUGGAGUAACGUCCGGAAAUGGCCACCUGAAACUGCGGCAUGCUGCCGGUUGGCGGUGUGAAGCCCGCUGGAGUCGGAGGAAGUUCGCCCAAGUCGGCGGAUGAUACUUCGGAGGUCUUUGCG